CGCUGUGGCGGACCGUGCGAGGCGGGCGUUUGCCCGGCCGGCUUACUCGUUAUCCGGUUUUCCACCCUUGCACGGUCCGCCUCCCUU
This 87-nucleotide non-coding RNA is filed under the name Pseudomonas delhiensis. The record is from RNAcentral. Lineage: Bacteria; Pseudomonadati; Pseudomonadota; Gammaproteobacteria; Pseudomonadales; Pseudomonadaceae.